CUUACCUUCAAGAUGCGCAGUAUACGAAGGAGUCGAAUCACGUUCAUGAAGACCACAGUCUCAUUCUAUUCCUUCUUAACUGGAGCCAGGGAACUCUGCUGGAUUCUAGGCUGUAACCUCACUAGUUUGGUGUCUGCAUCCUUGAUCAAAUAUGGCAAAUGGAAUGCAGAGACGGAACUAUCUCAAAUAGUGUGCAAUGGACGCCCUACUCAUUUGAACAAGCUAUGAAGUGCAAGCCUCACAAUUUCACAACUGGGAUUGGAUACAACUGAGGGUCUCGAUGUCUGCUUAGUGAACUCUGAGACAUUUAACAGCCUUCCAACUCACUGACCCUGAACAGGGAGGGAGUUCUACUCAGGGUGCUGGGAACCCACAGUGAACAGCCCGGGCUGACAACCCUCUACCUCACUUUUGUUGAGGGCAUGACUACUUAGUACCUCAUCAAUGGGAAGUCGGUAUCCACGUGGCGGUGAGUAGUUUCUCAAGAACUGAUAUAAAAAGUUUAAUGGUGAAGGGGCGAGCCAGCAACUCACCAUGAGA
Molecule: long non-coding RNA, 540 nt
Organism: Mus caroli (Ryukyu mouse)
Lineage: Eukaryota; Metazoa; Chordata; Mammalia; Rodentia; Muridae
Source: RefSeq, a predicted model, not a curated record